GCACUCUUCGGAGUGAGUGGCAGACGGGUGAGUAACGCGUGGCAAACGUGCCUUUCUCUACGGAAUAGCCCUUGGAAACGAGGUGUAAUACCGUAUACGCCCUUAGGGGGAAAGAUUUAUCGGAGAAAGAUCGGUCCGCGUUAGAUUAGUUUGUUGGUGGGGUAAUGGCCUACCAAGACUACGAUCUAUAGCUGAUUUGAGAGGAUGAUCAGCCACACUGGAACUGAGACACGGUCCAGACUCCUACGGGAGGCAGCAGUGGGGAAUCUUGGACAAUGGGGGAAACCCUGAUCCAGCCAUGCCGCGUGAAUGAUGAAGGCCUUAGGGUUGUAAAAUUCUUUCACCGGGGAAGAUAAUGACGGUACCCGGAGAAGAAGCUCCGGCUAACUUCGUGCCAGCAGCCGCGGUAAUACGAAGGGAGCUAGCGUUGUUCGGAAUUACUGGGCGUAAAGCGCACGUAGGCGGAUUAGUAAGUAAGAGGUGAAAUCCCAGGGCUCAACCCUGGAACUGCCUUUUAAACUGCUAGUCUAGAGGAUAGGAGAGGUCAGUGGAAUACCGAGUGUAGAGGUGAAAUUCGUAGAUAUUCGGUGGAACACCAGUGGCGAAGGCGACUG
Molecule: ribosomal RNA, 614 nt
Filed under: uncultured bacterium
Lineage: Bacteria
Description: bacterial SSU rRNA
Rfam family: Bacterial small subunit ribosomal RNA
Source: RNAcentral